Molecule: ribosomal RNA, 133 nt
Filed under: uncultured Clostridium sp.
Lineage: Bacteria; Bacillati; Bacillota; Clostridia; Eubacteriales; Clostridiaceae
Description: partial 16S ribosomal RNA
Source: RNAcentral
GAAUCUUACGCAAGGCAGCAGUGGGGAAUCCUGCACAAUGGGGGAAACCAUGAAGCCGCACCGCUGGUAAAGCAAUGAAGCCCUUAGGGAAGUAAAUUCUUCAUCCCUGACGAUAAUGACGUACCUAAGAAUA